AAGUUGUAACAAGGUUUCCGUAGGUGAACCGGAAGGAUCAUUACAAAGUUAAACCCCCCCUGUGAACUUUUAGCACUGCUCUUGCAGCCCGUCUUCCUCCAGCAAUCCCUAGUAAAUCAUGCACGAGAAAUUACAGUUGCAAUUGUAGCGGUAGUGCAAGCAAUCUCAGCUUCUCCUGGGUCCUUUGGUGAAUUGAAAAGUGUCAUCAGAGAUCGCCGACGAGAAGGCCCUACGGCUUCACUGGAGGACAUCACGUCCGGUGACUAGAUGCUCGGGUCCCCAUGCCCCCUUACAACCCCAUGUCUCGCAGCCGGGUCGCGAUAAUACGCUUGACCUAAAAAUAAAAACCGAACAACUGUUAACAAUGGAUAUCUUGGUUCUC
This 382-nucleotide unclassified non-coding RNA is filed under the name fungal sp. RNAcentral's name for it is "partial internal transcribed spacer region". Lineage: Eukaryota; Fungi. The record is from RNAcentral.